GAUGAAGAACGUAGCGAAAUGCGAUAAGUAGUGUGAAUUGCAGAAUUCAGUGAAUCAUCGAAUCUUUGAACGCACAUUGCCCCCCUUGGUAUUCCAUGGGGCAUGCCUGUUCGAGCGUCAUUUGUACCCUCAAGCUUUGCUUGGUGUUGGGUGUUUGUCCCGCGUUGCGCGUGGACUCGCCUUAAAGCGAUUGGCAGCCGGCAUAUUGGCCUUGGAGCGCAGCACAUUUUGCGCUUCUAGUCAUGAAUGUUGGCGUCCAUUAAGCCUAUACAUUUGCUCUUGACCUCGGAUCAGGUAGGGAUACCCGCUGAACUUAAGCAUAUCAAUAAGCGGAGGA
This 337-nucleotide unclassified non-coding RNA is filed under the name soil metagenome. RNAcentral's name for it is "partial contains 5.8S ribosomal RNA, internal transcribed spacer 2, and large subunit ribosomal RNA". The stretch from base 1 to 120 matches the Rfam family "5.8S ribosomal RNA", at positions 35 to 154 of the family's 154-position model. The record is from RNAcentral.